GUCAGGAUGGCCGAGUGGUCAAAGGCGGCAGACUCAAGCUCCGUAUGUUGAUGUGGGUUCAAAUCCCACUUCUGACA
Protopterus annectens (West African lungfish) is the source of this 77-nucleotide non-coding RNA. Lineage: Eukaryota; Metazoa; Chordata; Ceratodontiformes; Protopteridae. The record is from the annotation of a RefSeq genome assembly.